UGAGGAAUAUUGGUCAAUGGGGGCAACCCUGAACCAGCCAAGUCGCGUGAAGGAUGAAGGUCUUAUGGAUUGUAAACUUCUUUUAUACAGGAAUAAAUUGGGGGACGUGUCCCCUUUUGCAUGUACUGUAUGAAUAAGGAUCGGCUAACUCCGUGCCAGCAGCCGCGGUAAUACGGAGGAUCCGAGCGUUAUCCGGAUUUAUUGGGUUUAAAGGGUGCGCAGGCGGGAUGUUAAGUCGGCGGUGAAAUUUUGCAGCUCAACUGUAAAAGUGCCUUCGAUACUGGCUUCCUUGAGUGUGGAUGAAGUAGGCGGAAUUUGUGGUGUAGCGGUGAAAUGCUUAGAUAUCACGAGGAACUCCGAUUGCGCAGGCAGCUUACUAAGCCACAACUGACGCUCAUGCACGAAGGCGUGGGGAUCAAACA
Molecule: ribosomal RNA, 422 nt
Filed under: uncultured bacterium
Lineage: Bacteria
Description: bacterial SSU rRNA
Rfam family: Bacterial small subunit ribosomal RNA
Source: RNAcentral